UCUGAGCCUCCUUUCUGGCGGGCGGCCUUGAGCGGCAGCCUCAUGAGAAGACUGGCCCAGCAGAGGGCUGGGAGCAGAGGCAGGAGCUGAGAUCAGAAAGGUGCCUGGAGAAGGGUCUGGGGGAGUGGCCCAUGAGCUCAGCCAUUCUCACGGGGCUGUCCUGGCUCCAGGGGCCUCUGGCAAAGCCCAAGACAUUUUUGCCUGUCCGUGCUCGGGCAGAGGUGCUGCUGGCCCCUGGUGCGUGGAGUGGAAUGCCAAUCAACAGGACGCCACGAG
RNAcentral lists this long non-coding RNA (276 nucleotides) under Homo sapiens (human). RNAcentral's name for it is "HSALNT0000304". The record is from RNAcentral. Lineage: Eukaryota; Metazoa; Chordata; Mammalia; Primates; Hominidae.